Molecule: unclassified non-coding RNA, 25 nt
Filed under: synthetic construct
Source: RNAcentral
GCCAAGCUCAAGGAUGGAAGUGCAG